GAUGAAGAACGUAGCGAAAUGCGAUCAGUAAUGUGAAUUGCAGAAUUCAGUGAAUCAUCGAAUCUUUGAACGCACAUUGCGCCCUCUGGUAUUCCGGGGGGCAUGCCUGUUCGAGCGUCAUUAUAACCACUCAAGCUCUCGCUUGGUAUUGGGGUUCGCGGUUUCGCGGCCCCUAAAAUCAGUGGCGGUGCCUGUCGGCUCUACGCGUAGUAAUACUUCUCGCGAUUGAGUUCGAUAGGUCUACUUGCCAGUAACCCCCAAUUUUUACAGGUUGACCUCGGAUCAGGUAGGGAUACCCGCUGAACUUAAGCAUAUCAAUAAGCGGAGGA
RNAcentral lists this unclassified non-coding RNA (329 nucleotides) under soil metagenome. RNAcentral describes it as "partial contains 5.8S ribosomal RNA, internal transcribed spacer 2, and large subunit ribosomal RNA". The stretch from base 1 to 120 matches the Rfam family "5.8S ribosomal RNA", at positions 35 to 154 of the family's 154-position model. The record is from RNAcentral.